This 250-nucleotide ribosomal RNA is filed under the name uncultured bacterium. RNAcentral describes it as "partial 16S ribosomal RNA". It matches the Rfam family "Bacterial small subunit ribosomal RNA", at positions 524 to 773 of the family's 1533-position model. The record is from RNAcentral.
UACAGAGGUCCCAAGCGUUGUUCGGAUUCACUGGGCGUAAAGGGUGCGUAGGUGGCCGGGUAAGUCUGACGUGAAAUCUCCAAGCUCAACUUGGAAACUGCAUCGGAUACUAUCCGGCUCGAGGAUCGGAGGGGAGACUGGAAUGCUUGGUGUAGCAGUGAAAUGCGUAGAUAUCAAGCGGAACACCAGUGGCGAAGGCGAGUCUCUGGACGAUUCCUGACGCUGAGGCACGAAAGCCAGGGGAGCAAAC